UGUAUUAACACUCAAGAGAGCAUAACUGAUACGAUACAUAUUGUUAAGAAUCAUUCAAAAGAUAAAACAACAGAGAAAAAGGAAAAAAAUAAAAAAAUAAACGACAAGAGCAGUUCCUCUGAUGGUAAGCAACUCCACUUCCAACCGAGAGGUUGUGAGUUCGAGUCCCCCCAAGAGCAAGGUGGGAAGUUUUGGAGGGAAGGAUGCCGGGUUUCUAAUUUGGAAACAGC
This 230-nucleotide long non-coding RNA is filed under the name Nicotiana benthamiana. Its description in RNAcentral is "long non-coding RNA (NBEN_LNC004383)". Lineage: Eukaryota; Viridiplantae; Streptophyta; Magnoliopsida; Solanales; Solanaceae. The record is from RNAcentral.